GACAUUUGGUCCGAUGAUGUCGAAAAGUUUCUUCUCGAAGAAAGAAGAACGAAUCUAACAUGGAAGUUUAUAACCAAUCAGCUUGAUAUGGACUGUGUUUGAUACCUGAAAAUCGGGUUUCAUGUUGCUGAUGUACAUGUCAUGAUACUGACAGAUCGCUAUGUCAUCUUAUUGGAAGAAACACGAAGUGGAGCUUUUUGGAAACCCGACAAAGAUAUCAAAGCCGCUGUCAACAUGAAAGAACAUUAUGGAAGAAUUGCCAGCCGUUAAGCGUUCAGGUGUCAGGUGUUUGUUUCGAAAAUGAAACAACGAGGGUCGUCAUGGUGGUUUUCCCGGAGACCCAGCCGAAUGCGAAGCUCGUGAAGAAACAGCGUACUACUUCAUGAGAACCACGGAUUGUGCACACUGAGGGCAAACCCUACCAGAAACAGAGUUAGGGCCUCUAGUAUGAUAUUGUCUAGACAGGAUGUCUAUCAACUCGUCAUUACCGUCUGACAUUAACACAUCUGCGAGAAAGGACCUUUAUUGGAUAGGGAAUCCUCAGAAUGUAUAACAAUGAGCCUAUAUUCAAGUUGUAGCUCAAAAGUUCUACAACUGAGGAUUUUCCUGAACAUCAAAUCAGCAUGGAAUGCUUUAUAGGCCAACGUAGAUGCCUAAUGCGAAAUGUGGAAGAUGCCUAACAAAUUGUGAAUGCUACUCUGAUUAGACACAUUUGGAACUUAAGGUUUCUCGUGUUGGUUACUUCAAAGCAGUAAUAAUUGUACUACAAAAAAUAUGCAAGGCAUGCUGGUCUGUUCUUCUCAAUGACGAGACGAGUAGAAUCGAUCAAUUAACACUAAGGAAACCUAAGGUUACCUACAACUGAUGAGGUUGAUUUGGUCAUCAAGCUUCCAUCUUUAUGUAUCUAAAACCUGCAGAUCUUAUGUCUUAUUAUUUGACCAACUAUUGUGAAUCAAAUCAAGGUGCUGGUCGUGUGCGUUGAACAUCAACAUUUGGCGCUGGUUCACAAAUGUUAUAUUUUACUUAUUAUUGUGCCGGCUUUUGCCAUCCUGGCUAUGUGAAAACUGCUGUGUAACUUAUUACAUGAUCAGCUUAGGAGUCUUUGGAGAUGGUUAUACCUGAUGAAACACUGCUGAAAGAAAACCAUUUGCCUAUGGAUAAUAGUAACCCUAAGUGCAUCAAAAUAUCGUUCCUCAAAAAAAGUUUCUAGAAUUUCGCCAUCAAAGUUAUGAGGAAACUAGUGGAGCUUCUCAAUUCAUGAUGAACUAAGGAUUCUCGAUCGCCAUUGGAGAUGUUGCAUUUGAUGAGGCAGGCGAUAGCGAAUGUAAUCCAUUGCUAUACAGUGUGCAAUCGCAGCAUCUCGAGUGUCAAUAGUGCAAUUCGCACAUGGAACGAUGUUUCAACAAAUACGAAUCCAGACGUCUUUGCGGUUCAACGUUGGAAAACGAAAUAGGGAGCGAUUAUGGCGUCUUGCGCAGUAUGUUCCAUUACGAUCCUGGUAACUGAACAUAUUGCAAGCGAUUUUGUAUUUGUAUCCGGACAUUGGAACCAUUUUAAGUAGUACUCUUUAUUUGUUCCUCGUGCUACCACAUGAAACCUCUCGUUGUUUAUUUAGGACAAUGUAACCGAUGUAUGCUGGUACAAUUUUGUACAGGUAGUCUUAAAGAGAGGGAAUUCUGCCUUAUGUUGAAAAACAAUGUGCAUGUCCUCGUUCUCCGUACCAUAUUAAACGUCGGCAAGUUGA
Molecule: long non-coding RNA, 1744 nt
Organism: Daphnia carinata
Lineage: Eukaryota; Metazoa; Arthropoda; Branchiopoda; Diplostraca; Daphniidae
Exons: 10
Source: RefSeq, a predicted model, not a curated record